GAAGAUUUGGCCUUGGUCUCUCCCACCAUUUCCCCCGUAACCAGGUCUGUGCCACCUGCUGGGGCCUGGGGAAGCUACAGUGAUCCUGCCCCUUUCCUGGCCACACAUUUUCUGGGAUGUGUGUAAAUGAAAACACCUUACUAAAUAUUUGUUGUUUCGUUCUAGGAAACCAAAAUGGUGCUGUUGGCUGUACUGGGCAAGGCCUUUCUGGACGGAGAACAGAAAAUACAGAAUCAGCUAUAUUUUUGGCUGGCAUGUGAUGAUAUCCUGGGGAGACUGAUGGGUAGAUAGAGAAGUGCAUAUAUCUUUGCUCUUAUUUACACCAAGGUAAGUCAAAAAUGUGUAAAAAGCACUGGAAAACACAAGAUGAG
This 371-nucleotide long non-coding RNA is filed under the name Gallus gallus (chicken). RNAcentral's name for it is "lncRNA (ENSGALG00010001981.1)". Lineage: Eukaryota; Metazoa; Chordata; Aves; Galliformes; Phasianidae. The record is from RNAcentral.